RNAcentral lists this transfer RNA (67 nucleotides) under human gut metagenome. It matches the Rfam family "tRNA". From Rfam's summary of the family: Transfer RNA (tRNA) molecules are approximately 80 nucleotides in length. The record is from RNAcentral. RNAcentral also lists the same sequence under 1 other name.
GAAUUAGUUCAGUUGGUUAGAAUGCCAGAUUGUGACUCUGGAGGUCGCAGGUUCAAGUCCCGUAUUC